UCGCUAGUAAUCGCGGAUCAGCAUGCCGCGGUGAAAUACGUUCCCGGGCCUUGUACACACCGCUCGUCACACCACGAGAGUUUGUAACACCCGAAGUCGGUGAGGUAACCUUUUAGGAGCCAGCCGCCGAAGGUGGGACAGAUGAUUGGGGUGAAGUCGUAACAAGGUAGCCGUAUCGGAAGGUGCGGCUGGAUCACCUCCUUUCUAA
RNAcentral lists this ribosomal RNA (208 nucleotides) under Bacillus sp. fiply 3A. RNAcentral describes it as "partial 16S ribosomal RNA". It matches the Rfam family "Bacterial small subunit ribosomal RNA", at positions 1332 to 1533 of the family's 1533-position model. Lineage: Bacteria; Bacillati; Bacillota; Bacilli; Caryophanales; Bacillaceae. The record is from RNAcentral.